CAAAUUUGGGCCAGCGCCCCGGCGCCUAGCGUUGCCCAUCGAAAAAAGGAACACCGAGCAUAGCACCACUAACUCUUCGGCUGAAGCACUGCCUUCCCUCUGUCACCUCAGCCAUGCACACAAGAACUCAACCAUAGCCAGAUCGGUGCAAAGAGAGAGCAGAGGACACACAGAGGCAACCAGUGUUUCAGUUGUAGGCUCAGGCAACAAACAAGUGCUACUAACCGAAUGUAGCGAACCAACUGCCGGGUCAACCACAACUCUCCAUUAGGAGCUUAUAUCUAUAUUAUAUCUAUACCAGUAUAAAAAGACCCAAAGGGGUAGAUCCAACACAUCUCAGCCAUCCAUUCGCGUUAAUCCAACAGUCUUUAUUGUUCUAAUGUUGAGCGACUAAACACGUUUAGCGCUAAACACUAUCCAUUCGCUGAUCCCGUUCCUAUCGCACAAAAGGAAACUCCUCACAAGGGAACUGCCACACCAUCAUGGACGCCUCCUCGCUCCGCCUCAAUCGCAUCGAGCCGCCACCCCCAUCGCAUCAAGCUAUCGCACCAAGCCGUCGUGCCCCCAUCGCCCUUGAUCUGCCAUCCCUCACAUCCCCGUACGGCCCCCACCCAUUGCCUCGCCUGGCCUCGGCCGUCGGCGUCGCCGUCGGACAGAAGCCGCCUCCUACACCACCUGGCCGACCGCCCGUCAGGUACGCCACCUCCUACAACCCCUGGUCCGCUGUCCGUCAGGGACACCGCCUGGUCCGCUAUCCGUUGGGGACGCCGCCUGGCCGGCCAUCGUGGCAGCCGCCGGAGACGCAGCCUAAACUGCCUUGCGGGCCAUUGGGGACGCCGCCUAAACCCCCCUCUGUUCACAUCUCCCCCUCAUCUCGCACAGUCAGGGACGAGCUGCCUUCAAACACGCAGCCUCCGGACCGGGGUUCUUUCAUCUCUGCUUUCUUUCGUUCACCUUGUUUUUUCAGUCACGUGCUGCUUCACAUUUGAGAUUUUUCUUCAUGUGUGUGAGAUAUUGAUUCAUGUUGAUAAAACUGAAGCCAGCCAAAGCAAAGCUUGUUACUAGAGUUUUAAAAGAAUCUUCCUUAGGCUAUUUGAAUGCAUACAUUCAGCAGUUAAGUUUCAUUACCAAUGUGAUUUGCAUUGCUUGUAUUUUGGGCUCACAGAUGAUCAUAUUAUACUGAUUUCACAGAUUUUGUACACACAUCAAGCACAUGAAAAAUAGUCAUUUGGGUGCUUCUCUGUCACCAUCAGGGAAUCGUUCCCAGUUUUUCGUGCAAUGUAGCUAUCCUGUCAUGCCUCUUUUCCAUUCAUCCAUCAGAAUCCCACCGGUUGGAAUCAUGUACAUCUCAUAUGCCAGGCAAAAUAUGGACAGAGCGGCGCAGAGCAAGCAGUUAGGGAUCCACAACGUUUAUUCAACCUACAUAUGCCAGCCCUACCCAACAAUCAUUCAGUUUUUGGCUUCUCUAAUUUUUCUAUUGGAAAUGGAUCAUUGUGAUGAGAGAUUGUCCAACCAAUGUGCUUUCCGUUUUUCAGCUGGUACGGAGGGGAUUAAGCACUCCUUUGUUAUCUUGCACAUUCAGCCUUCAGGAAGGAACCACAUUUGAUCUUGUGCAGUUCAAGACUGGCCUGAAGCGUCGCUCCUUCAGGAAGGAAACACAUUUGGUCUUGUGCAGUUCAAGACAGGCCUGAAGCGUCGCUGUAAUGGUUCAGGAAAGGAAGGAACUCGGCGGCUGGCUGGCCCAGCUAUGAUGCGUGCAACUCAGCAGAUAGCUUCCUGGACACCCACAGUCUUAGUUCUAAGGCUGUUACUACAGUAAUCAGGCACUACGUACGACCAUAUCGGAAUGCUUUUUUAUCUUCUUUCUUUGCUCCAAGAUUUGGAUAGUACAUUAUCAAGUGGUCUUACUUACAGUUCAGUAUAAUACUCCCUCCGUCCGAAAUGGAUAGAAAUGGAUGUAUGUCGAACUAAAAAAUACGUCUAGAUAAAUUCAUUUAUGCGACAAUUAAUUCCGGAUGGAGGGUGUAUGAGAUACAAGACGAGGUCGUUCAGAAAUGUGCUUUGACAUGACAGUAACAGUAUAGAGGUAAGGAGAAGUUGUUUGUUGGAAUCCACGGUGCACCGUACAUACAAUUCAGUCAUGUUAACAUGCCAUGUUAUUUGCUAUUAGCCAAAGCUUAGGAAAUUUUGUUGAAGCUGUUCCUCUUUCUCUAUCCUUUAUUAGUCUCAAGGCACCCGGUUCUUUUGUCUAGCUCUAUAUCCACUCAACUUUGACGUAUUUUUUUCUCAGCUCUGUAUUUCAUUGGUGCCGUGACAUUUACACGCAUAUAACAAGUGUUAAAAUUCUAACAUGCAGGGUUCUUGAGCGGUUGACUGGAGGUCCUGUCCUACAUGUUCUCUUAUGCACCAUUGUACAAUUGGCUAGCUAAAUGAGUGUACGGUAAAUUUCAAUUUUUUAUGUACUUUCAUCUGCUAGGAUUUUAAGGUAGUAUAAGCUUUGGUAUUUUGUACGGAAAAGGGUGUUUUUUCCUGAUGUACACACUUUAGUCUUCGUGUUAUUAAUGCAGGUGAACAAUUCACACUUUUUAUUGAUCCACCAUAUUAUUUCUUUCUUUGUUUACAUGCCCAUAUGUUAUGUAAACCGAGGAAGCAAGUUUGGGAUGAUGUAACAAAAAUUGAUUUACGCAUAGGAAUAUGAAGCAGACACGGGGACUGACACCUGGUGAAGGCUAGCUUCUAAAUAUUCAUUUUUGUUGUUUUUAUGCAUUUUACGUACAUGACUGUAUGUUUUGAUAUACAUUUAAAUUUAUUCAGAUCUGCCACGUGUUAUAACUUUAGAAGAACUCUUGCAGAAUCUUUUUGUAUGAUCUUCACGUGUGUUGCGUCUUCAACCAUCGGAUGUAUAGCUGGAACUACUGGGAGAUAAUGAACAACCACUUGGAAUUACCAACUUAGCUAUGUUCAUUUUAAUCUUUGGUAUUUCUCAUUUAUGGAAAGUAUGCACUCCUUGGUAAAAAGAAUGAGUUCAUGGUGUGUCAUUUAACCUCGCUCACACACUUACAUUACAUUAUAUUUGUUUUCACAAUGCAAUCUGAGAUACGUUAUGCUCGACA
Long non-coding RNA from Triticum aestivum (bread wheat), 3113 nucleotides. RefSeq lists it as uncharacterized. The transcript has 2 exons. NCBI's taxonomy places the organism in Eukaryota, Viridiplantae, Streptophyta, Magnoliopsida, Poales, Poaceae. The record is from RefSeq and is a predicted model, not a curated record.